AUUCCUCCCAAAAGGGUAUGCAUUUCGUGGUAUAUAGUGGCCUUUUUUUUUUAUCUAUCUUUGCAUUUCGUGGAUGAUUUGUUUUGUUAAUGGUGGUGGUGAUAGGAUUGGGUAUGAGAAUUAAAUGUUCAGGAUCAGAAACUAUAUUCAAUUAAAUUGAUGAAUUGAAUUUUUUCUUUUCUUUUGUUCAUUAGUGCAAUAUGCAAGAAGGGAUGGAGGGAAAUCCAUUUGCUAAAACCAUGAAGACUGUUUCAAGAGGCAUGGCUGUUCUUACAGUUCCGUUUACCAUGGAAUUUCCAAAGAGUGUAGGCUGAGUUCCUUAUUUACUGGCUAUCAUUCUUAUGGGUGCCAACAAUAGCAAAGACAUACAUUUAAUCAAGCUUUGUGAGGUAUUACUUUAUGGCACAAGAAGCUUAUAGCAGAAAGAGCAUAUUCAGGCAUUCUGAGUCACCAAGUAAUUAUCAGCCACAAUCGUGAAUCGUAGCUGGUUCUGAAGGUAUCGAAGGCUUCAACCUGCU
Rosa chinensis is the source of this 518-nucleotide long non-coding RNA. RefSeq lists it as uncharacterized. The record is from RefSeq and is a predicted model, not a curated record. NCBI's taxonomy places the organism in Eukaryota, Viridiplantae, Streptophyta, Magnoliopsida, Rosales, Rosaceae. The transcript is spliced from 4 exons.